This 1358-nucleotide ribosomal RNA is filed under the name uncultured bacterium. RNAcentral describes it as "bacterial SSU rRNA". It matches the Rfam family "Bacterial small subunit ribosomal RNA", at positions 27 to 1380 of the family's 1533-position model. The record is from RNAcentral.
GAUUGAACGCUAGCGGGAUGCUUUACACAUGCAAGUCGAACGGCAGCGCGAGAGAGCUUGCUCUCUUGGCGGCGAGUGGCGGACGGGUGAGUAAUAUAUCGGAACGUGCCCAGUAGCGGGGGAUAACUACUCGAAAGAGUGGCUAAUACCGCAUACGCCCUACGGGGGAAAGGGGGGGAUCGCAAGACCUCUCACUAUUGGAGCGGCCGAUAUCGGAUUAGCUAGUUGGUGGGGUAAAGGCUCACCAAGGCAACGAUCCGUAGCUGGUUUGAGAGGACGACCAGCCGCACUGGGACUGAGACACGGCCCAGACUUCUACGGGAGGCAGCAGUGGGGAAUUUUGGACAAUGGGGGAAACCCUGAUCCAGCCAUCCCGCGUGUAUGAUGAAGGCCUUCGGGUUGUAAAGUACUUUUGGCAGAGAAGAAAAGGUACCUCCUAAUACGAGGUACUGCUGACGGUAUCUGCAGAAUAAGCACCGGCUAACUACGUGCCAGCAGCCGCGGUAAUACGUAGGGUGCAAGCGUUAAUCGGAAUUACUGGGCGUAAAGCGUGUGUAGGCGGUUCGGAAAGAAAGAUGUGAAAUCCCAGGGCUCAACCUUGGAACUGCAUUUUUAACUGCCGAGCUAGAGUAUGUCAGAGGGGGGUAGAAUUCCACGUGUAGCAGUGAAAUGCGUAGAUAUGUGGAGGAAUACCGAUGGCGAAGGCAGCCCCCUGGGAUAAUACUGACGCUCAGACACGAAAGCGUGGGGAGCAAACAGGAUUAGAUACCCUGGUAGUCCACGCCCUAAACGAUGUCAACUAGCUGUUGGGGCCGUUAGGCCUUAGUAGCGCAGCUAACGCGUGAGGUUGACCGCCUGGGGAGUACGGUCGCAAGAUUAAAACUUAAAGGAAUUGACGGGGACCCGCACAAGCGGUGGAUGAUGUGGAUUAAUUCGAUGCAACGCGAAAAACCUUACCUACCCUUGACAUGUCUGGAAAGCCGAAGAGAUUUGGCCGUGCUCGCAAGAGAACCGGAACACAGGUGCUGCAUGGCUGUCGUCAGCUCGUGUCGUGAGAUGUUGGGUUAAGUCCCGCAACGAGCGCAACCCUUGUCAUUAGUUGCUACGCAAGAGCACUCUAAUGAGACUGCCGGUGACAAACCGGAGGAAGGUGGGGAUGACGUCAAGUCCUCAUGGCCCUUAUGGGUAGGGCUUCACACGUCAUACAAUGGUCGGGACAGAGGGUCGCCAACCCGCGAGGGGGAGCCAAUCUCAGAAACCCGAUCGUAGUCCGGAUCGCAGUCUGCAACUCGACUGCGUGAAGUCGGAAUCGCUAGUAAUCGCGGAGCAGAAUGUCGCGGUGAAUACGUUCCCGGGUC